This 249-nucleotide ribosomal RNA is filed under the name uncultured bacterium. RNAcentral describes it as "partial small subunit ribosomal RNA". It matches the Rfam family "Bacterial small subunit ribosomal RNA", at positions 26 to 280 of the family's 1533-position model. The record is from RNAcentral.
AGGACGAACGCUGGCGGCGUGCUUAACACAUGCAAGUCGAGCGGAAAGGCCCUUCGGGGUACUCGAGCGGCGAACGGGUGAGUAACACGUGAGCAACCUGCCCUUAGCUCCGGGAUAGCUCCGGGAAACCGGAAUUAAUACCGGAUACGACCACGGCCGACAUCUGCUGUGGUGGAAAGGAUUCCGGCUAAGGAUGGGCUCGCGGCCUAUCAGCUAGUUGGUGGAGUAACGGCCCACCAAGGCGACGAC